GGUAGCGCAGUAGUUAGCGCACCUGACUAUUGCACGGAGGGUCGUGGGUUCGAUUCCCACACCG
RNAcentral lists this transfer RNA (64 nucleotides) under Bombyx mori (domestic silkworm). It matches the Rfam family "tRNA". From Rfam's summary of the family: Transfer RNA (tRNA) molecules are approximately 80 nucleotides in length. Their secondary structure includes four short double-helical elements and three loops (D, anti-codon, and T loops). Further hydrogen bonds mediate the characteristic L-shaped molecular structure. tRNAs have two regions of fundamental functional importance: the anti-codon, which is responsible for specific mRNA codon recognition, and the 3' end, to which the tRNAs corresponding amino acid is attached (by aminoacyl-tRNA synthetases). tRNAs cope with the degeneracy of the genetic code in two manners: having more than one tRNA (with a specific anti-codon) for a particular amino acid; and 'wobble' base-pairing, i.e. permitting non-standard base-pairing at the 3rd anti-codon position. The record is from Rfam by way of RNAcentral. Lineage: Eukaryota; Metazoa; Arthropoda; Insecta; Lepidoptera; Bombycidae.